AACUCGGCAAAUUAAUUCCGUAACUUUGGGAAAAGGAAGAUCUGUUGUGGGUACUAAUCAAACGAGGGGGUGGCGACUGUUUAAUAAAAACACAGGAUUCUGCAAAAUGUAAAAUGAAGUAAAGAAUCUGACGCCUGCCCAGUGCUGUAAAGUAAACACUAAUUAUAUGUAGUUGGUGAAGCUCCAGUAAACGGCGGCUGUAACUCUAACGGUCCGAAGGUAGCGAAAUUCAUUGGCAGGUAAGUUCUGUCCCGCAUGAAUGGCGUAACGACUGCCCCACUGUCUCCAAUUAAAGCUCAAUGAAAUUGCAUAUGAGGUGAAAAUGCCUUAUUUAAUCGCGGGACGGAAAGACCCCGUGCACCUUUACUAGAAUCUUUUAUUAUUAACGGUUGUUACAUUUUUUUUAGUUGUUCCGACUUACUAAUUUUUUUGAAUGACGUUAAAAAAACAGGGCCUACGAUAUCUGUUUUUGAUGGAAGAAUGCUAGUUUGACUGGGGCGGUAACCUCCUAAAAAGUACCGGGGGCGAGCAAAAAAUAAUCUAAAUUUUUGUAAAUGAUAACACAUAUAUGAUUAUUUUGAUAAAGUUUCUUACAAGAAAUUUUAGGAUAGUUUUCUGUCUGCUGUAAUGACCCGAUAACGAAGUUUUCUUAUCGAUUAACGAAUAAAAGGUACGCCGGGGAUAACAGGUUAAUUUCCUUUGAGAGUUCUUAUUGAUGAGGAAGCUUGACACCUCGAUGUCGGCUUAUCACAUCCUGGUUGGGUAUCAUCUGCCAAGGGUCGGCCUGUUCUGCCGUUAAAGUGGUACAUGAGCUGGGUUUAGAACGUCGUGAGACAGUUUGGUCCCUAUCUGCGAUUUUAAAUAGAAAUUAAUUUAGUCUUUACCUUAGUACGAGAGGACUGGGAC
This 906-nucleotide ribosomal RNA is filed under the name Bakuella subtropica. RNAcentral describes it as "partial 16S ribosomal RNA". It matches the Rfam family "Bacterial large subunit ribosomal RNA", at positions 1711 to 2698 of the family's 2925-position model. The record is from RNAcentral. Lineage: Eukaryota; Ciliophora; Spirotrichea; Urostylida; Bakuellidae.